AACGCACAUUGCGCCCCUUGGUAUUCCAUGGGGCAUGCUUGUUCGAGCGUCAUUUGUACCCUCAAGCUUUGCUUGGUGUUGGGCGGUUGUCCUUUCCUCUGCGUUGGGACUCGCCUUAAAGUCAUUGGCAGCCAGUGUAUUGGUUUGAAGCGCAGCACAAUUUGCGGCUCGAACUGAUAAUUGCUCGCGUCCAUCAAGUACAAUUAACACUUUUGACCUCGGAUCAAGUAGGGAUACCCGCUGAACUUAA
Molecule: unclassified non-coding RNA, 250 nt
Filed under: uncultured fungus
Lineage: Eukaryota; Fungi
Description: partial contains 5.8S rRNA and ITS2
Source: RNAcentral